RNAcentral lists this ribosomal RNA (497 nucleotides) under uncultured bacterium. RNAcentral describes it as "partial 16S ribosomal RNA". It matches the Rfam family "Bacterial small subunit ribosomal RNA", at positions 28 to 507 of the family's 1533-position model. The record is from RNAcentral.
GAUGAACGCUGGCGGCGUGCCUAAUACAUGCAAGUCGAGCGAACAGAUAAGGAGCUUGCUCCUUUGACGUUAGCGGCGGACGGGUGAGUAACACGUGGGUAACCUACCUAUAAGACUGGAAUAACUCCGGGAAACCGGGGCUAAUGCCGGAUAACAUUUAGAAUCGCAUGGUUCUAAAGUGAAAGAUGGUUUUGCUAUCACUUAUAGAUGGACCCGCGCCGUAUUAGCUAGUUGGUAAGGUAACGGCUUACCAAGGCAACGAUACGUAGCCGACCUGAGAGGGUGAUCGGCCACACUGGAACUGAGACACGGUCCAGACUCCUACGGGAGGCAGCAGUAGGGAAUCUUCCGCAAUGGGCGAAAGCCUGACGGAGCAACGCCGCGUGAGUGAUGAAGGUCUUCGGAUCGUAAAACUCUGUUAUUAGGGAAGAACAAAUGUGUAAGUAACUGUGCACGUCUUGACGGUACCUAAUCAGAAAGCCACGGCUAACUACGUG